Molecule: long non-coding RNA, 765 nt
Organism: Syzygium oleosum
Lineage: Eukaryota; Viridiplantae; Streptophyta; Magnoliopsida; Myrtales; Myrtaceae
Exons: 3
Source: RefSeq, a predicted model, not a curated record
UUUUGAGGUGUCUAGGAAUUGUGGAUAUGUAGUAUGUACAAUUCAUACUGAUGUGCACCAGGUGAAAGGUUUUCCAGGACUAUUGAAUUGUGAGAAACUUCGAUCGCUGGGAUAGGUCUCUAUCUCUAUGUUUUAUGCGGCGCUUGGAGAGGCAAAACCAUUCAGGAAUGAAGAAGAUGCAGUGAGAUGGCAAGCCACCAGGAAAGGCAAUAAGACAUGCAGAGAUGGAAGCUCUUGAUGUCCUUCAGGAAUAGUGGCAGAUGACUGCAUUUUCAGCUACAGAAGUUGCAGAGAAGUUUUCAGCAUGCUCCCUUUAUGUGACAUGUGAACCAUGCAUAUGUGUGCAGCAGCAUUAUUGAUCAUUGGUAUAAAGGAAGUAUAUUAUGGCUGUGCAAAUGAUAAAUUUGGAGGCUGUGGCUCAAUACUGGCAUUGCAUUCAAGUAGCUCCAAGGCAUGCAUUUCUGAACUUGCUUUUGUUGCUGAUUUCAUAGCUACUUAGCUCUACUUUGUAAUUGUGACGUAUGAUGAUUGACAACUAAAGCUUACUGGAGGUCUUCCUUAUGUUGAUUACUGAUGGAUGUGAUUUUGUAGUGGUUCUGUUUGUUGUCACUAUUUAAAUAUUGCAACACAUAACCAUGAAAAUAAAUGGAGGUUUAUGGAACUAAUUUUCCAUCUUUUCUGUCCUUAAGUGGAGUUUCUGGAAGCGUCAAGAAUUCAAGUAUAUAUUAAUUCUAAAUUUCUCUGCUUUGUUUCCUUUUCCUUGAA